This 1492-nucleotide ribosomal RNA is filed under the name metagenome. RNAcentral's name for it is "bacterial SSU rRNA". It matches the Rfam family "Bacterial small subunit ribosomal RNA". The record is from RNAcentral.
AGAGUUUGAUCCUGGCUCAGAUUGAACGCUGGCGGCAUGCCUUACACAUGCAAGUCGAACGGUAACGCGGGGGCAACCCUGGCGACGAGUGGCGAACGGGUGAGUAAUACAUCGGAACAUAUCCAGUAGCGGGGGAUAACCUAUCGAAAGAUGGACUAAUACCGCAUACGAUCUACGGAUGAGAGCAGGGGACCGCAAGGCCUUGCACUAUUGGAGUGGCCGAUGUCGGAUUAGCUAGUUGGUGAGGUAAAGGCUUACCAAGGCGACGAUCCGUAGCUGGUCUGAGAGGACGAUCAGCCACACUGGAACUGAGACACGGUCCAGACUCCUACGGGAGGCAGCAGUGGGGAAUUUUGGACAAUGGGCGCAAGCCUGAUCCAGCCAUGCCGCGUGAGUGAAGAAGGCCUUCGGGUUGUAAAGCUCUUUCGGUGAAGACGAAACGGUUAGCGCUAAUAACGCUGACUAAUGACGGUACUCACAGAAGAAGCACCGGCUAACUACGUGCCAGCAGCCGCGGUAAUACGUAGGGUGCAGGCGUUAAUCGGAAUUACUGGGCGUAAAGCGUGCGCAGGCGGUUUGCUAAGACAGGUGUGAAAUCCCCGAGCUUAACUUGGGAAUUGCGCUUGUAACUGGCAAGCUAGAGUGUGGCAGAGGGGGGUGGAAUUCCACGUGUAGCAGUGAAAUGCGUAGAUAUGUGGAGGAACACCGAUGGCGAAGGCAGCCCCCUGGGUUAACACUGACGCUCAUGCACGAAAGCGUGGGGAGCAAACAGGAUUAGAUACCCUGGUAGUCCACGCCCUAAACUAUGUCAACUAGUUGUCGGGGAAGAAAUUCCUUGGUAACGAAGCUAACGCGUGAAGUUGACCGCCUGGGGAGUACGGCCGCAAGGUUAAAACUCAAAGGAAUUGACGGGGACCCGCACAAGCGGUGGAUUAUGUGGAUUAAUUCGAUGCAACGCGAAAAACCUUACCUACCCUUGACAUGCUAGGAAGCCCGCAGAGAUGUGGGUGUGCCCGAAAGGGAACCUAGACACAGGUGCUGCAUGGCUGUCGUCAGCUCGUGUCGUGAGAUGUUGGGUUAAGUCCCGCAACGAGCGCAACCCUUGCCAUUAGUUGCUACAUUCAGUUGGGCACUCUAAUGGGACCGCCGGUGACAAACCGGAGGAAGGUGGGGAUGACGUCAAGUCCUCAUGGCCCUUAUGGGUAGGGCUUCACACGUAAUACAAUGGUCGGUACAGAGGGCUGCCAACCCGCAAGGGGGAGCUAAUCCCAGAAAGCCGAUCGUAGUCCGGAUUGUAGUCUGCAACUCGACUGCAUGAAGCCGGAAUCGCUAGUAUCGCGGAUCAGCAUGUCGCGGUGAAUACGUUCCCGGGUCUUGUACACACCGCCCGUCACACCAUGGGAGUGGGUUCCACCAGAAGUAGUUAGCCUAACCGCAAGGAGGGCGAUUACCACGGUGAGAUUCAUGACUGGGGUGAAGUCGUAACAAGGUA